CAAGUCGAGCGAGCUUGCCUAGAUGAAUUUGGUGCUUGCACCAAAUGAAACUAGAUACAAGCGAGCGGCGGACGGGUGAGUAACACGUGGGUAACCUGCCCAAGAGACUGGGAUAACACCUGGAAACAGAUGCUAAUACCGGAUAACAACACUAGACGCAUGUCUAGAGUUUAAAAGAUGGUUCUGCUAUCACUCUUGGAUGGACCUGCGGUGCAUUAGCUAGUUGGUAAGGUAACGGCUUACCAAGGCAAUGAUGCAUAGCCGAGUUGAGAGACUGAUCGGCCACAUUGGGACUGAGACACGGCCCAAACUCCUACGGGAGGCAGCAGUAGGGAAUCUUCCACAAUGGACGCAAGUCUGAUGGAGCAACGCCGCGUGAGUGAAGAAGGGUUUCGGCUCGUAAAGCUCUGUUGGUAGUGAAGAAAGAUAGAGGUAGUAACUGGCCUUUAUUUGACGGUAAUUACUUAGAAAGUCACGGCUAACUACGUGCCAGCAGCCGCGGUAAUACGUAGGUGGCAAGCGUUGUCCGGAUUUAUUGGGCGUAAAGCGAGUGCAGGCGGUUCAAUAAGUCUGAUGUGAAAGCCUUCGGCUCAACCGGAGAAUUGCAUCAGAAACUGUUGAACUUGAGUGCAGAAGAGGAGAGUGGAACUCCAUGUGUAGCGGUGGAAUGCGUAGAUAUAUGGAAGAACACCAGUGGCGAAGGCGGCUCUCUGGUCUGCAACUGACGCUGAGGCUCGAAAGCAUGGGUAGCGAACAGGAUUAGAUACCCUGGUAGUCCAUGCCGUAAACGAUGAGUGCUAAGUGUUGGGAGGUUUCCGCCUCUCAGUGCUGCAGCUAACGCAUUAAGCACUCCGCCUGGGGAGUACGACCGCAAGGUUGAAACUCAAAGGAAUUGACGGGGGCCCGCACAAGCGGUG
RNAcentral lists this ribosomal RNA (917 nucleotides) under Lactobacillus gasseri. RNAcentral describes it as "bacterial SSU rRNA". It matches the Rfam family "Bacterial small subunit ribosomal RNA", at positions 58 to 934 of the family's 1533-position model. The record is from RNAcentral. Lineage: Bacteria; Bacillati; Bacillota; Bacilli; Lactobacillales; Lactobacillaceae.